AAAGGUAUCAAUUAACGUUAAUAAAAAAUGGCAAUCCGUCUUGCCCCAAACGGUUAAAUAUAUUUGAAAAUAACAAUAAUUUAGAAGUUAAACUAAAACAUACGCCUAACGACGAACAAAGAAUGUGCGAACCUACACAUACGCUUAAUUAUGAUCAAAGCGUGUUCGAACCUACACAUACACUUAAUCGUGACGAAAGAGUGUUCGAACCUACACAUACACUUAAUCGUGACGAAAGAGUGUUCGAACCUACACAUACACUUAAUCGUGACGAAAGAGUGUUCGAACCUACACAUACACAUAAUCGUGAUGAAAGAGUGUGUGGAUUUACACAUACCGUUAACCAUGAUGAAAGAGUGUGCGGAUUUACAUAUAUACCAUUUCAAGGACAAAAAUUGUGCGAACAAGAAUGUACUAAAGAUAAAAUAGAUGCAACUUCCGUGAAAAAAAAUGCAAACGAGCUAAGUAACACUCAAAAAUUGGACAUAACGAAACCAAAUUUAUUAAUAAAACUAAGAAAUGAGAAUAAUAACAAAAAGAUAAACGAAAGAGAUGAUUAUCAAUUAAUUGAUCCGAAAUUAUUUAAUGUAAAUAAAACAAAUAAUGUCCUAAAUGACAUGUUGAUAAAAUCUGAAAAUUUUCUCACGAACAAAAAUGUAAUAAACGAGGAAUAUAUUGNNNNNNNNNNUUUUUGCACAUUUUUACAGCAAAGGUAUCAAUUAACGUUAAUAAAAAAUGGCAAUCCGUCUUGCCCCAAACGGUUAAAUAUAUUUGAAAAUAACAAUAAUUUAGAAGUUAAACUAAAACAUACGCCUAACGACGAACAAAGAAUGUGCGAACCUACACAUACGCUUAAUUAUGAUCAAAGCGUGUUCGAACCUACACAUACACUUAAUCGUGACGAAAGAGUGUUCGAACCUACACAUACACUUAAUCGUGACGAAAGAGUGUUCGAACCUACACAUACACUUAAUCGUGACGAAAGAGUGUUCGAACCUACACAUACACAUAAUCGUGAUGAAAGAGUGUGUGGAUUUACACAUACCGUUAACCAUGAUGAAAGAGUGUGCGGAUUUACAUAUAUACCAUUUCAAGGACAAAAAUUGUGCGAACAAGAAUGUACUAAAGAUAAAAUAGAUGCAACUUCCGUGAAAAAAAAUGCAAACGAGCUAAGUAACACUCAAAAAUUGGACAUAACGAAACCAAAUUUAUUAAUAAAACUAAGAAAUGAGAAUAAUAACAAAAAGAUAAACGAAAGAGAUGAUUAUCAAUUAAUUGAUCCGAAAUUAUUUAAUGUAAAUAAAACAAAUAAUGUCCUAAAUGACAUGUUGAUAAAAUCUGAAAAUUUUCUCACGAACAAAAAUGU
Molecule: long non-coding RNA, 1366 nt
Filed under: Piliocolobus tephrosceles (Ugandan red Colobus)
Lineage: Eukaryota; Metazoa; Chordata; Mammalia; Primates; Cercopithecidae
Description: lncRNA (ENSPTEG00000001870.1)
Source: RNAcentral